GAUGAAUGCUGGCGGCGUGCCUAAUACAUGCAAGUCGAGCGAACAGACGAGGAGCUUGCUCCUCUGACGUUAGCGGCGGACGGGUGAGUAACACGUGGAUAACCUACCUAUAAGACUGGGAUAACUUCGGGAAACCGGAGCUAAUACCGGAUAAUAUAUUGAACCGCAUGGUUCAAUAGUGAAAGACGGUUUUGCUGUCACUUAUAGAUGGAUCCGCGCCGCAUUAGCUAGUUGGUAAGGUAACGGCUUACCAAGGCGACGAUGCGUAGCCGACCUGAGAGGGUGAUCGGCCACACUGGAACUGAGACACGGUCCAGACUCCUACGGGAGGCAGCAGUAGGGAAUCUUCCGCAAUGGGCGAAAGCUUGACGGAGCAACGCCGCGUGAGUGAUGAAGGUCUUCGGAUCGUAAAACUCUGUUAUUAGGGAAGAACAAAUGUGUAAGUAACUAUGCACGUCUUGACGGUACCUAAUCAGAAAGCCACGGCUAACUACGUG
This 497-nucleotide ribosomal RNA is filed under the name uncultured bacterium. RNAcentral's name for it is "partial 16S ribosomal RNA". It matches the Rfam family "Bacterial small subunit ribosomal RNA", at positions 28 to 507 of the family's 1533-position model. The record is from RNAcentral.